AUAUAUAUUUGACUUUGAAACAGCAGUCACUAUGAGCAGUAACUGUGAGGAUAAGUAACUGAAUUCAGUCACUAUUAAAUAAUUAAACAUAAUAAAUUGGAAUCUGUGAAAAUACAUUGGAUCUCUCCAGUUGUUCUGGCACAUCCCACUCUCAAACUCCGAUCUCUAUUAUUCGUUUAAUCUGACUUAUCUGCGUGAGCUCUCAACCAAUGAUUCACCAGCAAUCCACAAGGACCGCCCUCCUCAUUUUCAUGUUGCACACGGAAAAGUAAAAAUAAAUAAAUAAAUAAAUAAAUCUGGAAAUAAAUACACGUGGGAAUAAAUAAAUACAUAUAAAAAAUUAAUAAAUAAAUAAAAAUAAAACUCUCGUCCUGCCCAGUCACGGCUAUGGAUGCCGCUCAUGAAUCCUCGUCCUGCCCAGUCACGGCUAUGGAGGCCAUUUCUGAACUCUCAUCUUGCCAAGUCACGGCUAUGGAAGCCGUUAAUGAACUCUCGCCCUGUCCUGUCACGGCUAAGGAGGCCGCCUAUGAAUCUUCAUCCAUUCAAGUCUCGGUCCUUGGGGCCAUGAAUCCUCUGUCUAUGUUGUCUGUCUCUGCUUCUUCCAGGCUCCAGUCCCAAGCAUGCUGUCCUAGCCAGUUCAGUCUACCCAUCCACUCUGUCUGCUCCACCCAGGAGGGUUCCAGGGCCGUCCACUCUGCCUGUCUUUUUGUAUCUCACCCUCUCUUAGGUUCCGGUUACUACCCGGGGUCUCUGUUCUGCCUGAUCCGUCCUGGGGGCGUCCGAGUCGCCGCCCGAUCCGCCCUGGUGGCCGUCUGCCUUGUCUGCUUCGCCCUGUUGGGCGGCUGGUUCAAUCCCAUCUCUCCAUCCCCUCAUGGACCUGACCCUCCGUCCCUCCCCCUGUUCCGCCUCCGCUUUACCACCCUCCUGUAGUCAAGUCAAGUCAUCUUUAUUUAUAUAGCGCUUUAAACAAAAAAGAUUGCGUCAAAGCAACUGAACAACAUUAAUUAGGAAAACAGUGUGUCAAUAAUGCAAAAUGACAGUUAAAGGCAGUUCAUCAUUGAAUUCAGUGAUGUCAUCAUGCAGCUCAGUUGAGUUUAAAUAGUAUCUGUGCAAUCAUUUGCAAUCAAGUCAAUGAUAUCGCUGUAAAUGAAGUGUCCCCAACUAAGCAAGCCAGAGGCGACAGCGGCAAGGAACCAAAACUCCAUCAGUGACAGAAUGGAGAAGAAACCUUGGGAGAAACCAGGCUCAGUCGGGGGCCAGUUCUCCUCUGGCCAGACGAAACCAGAAGUUCAGUUCCAGGCUGCAGCAAAGUCACAUUGUGCAGAAGAAUCAUCUGUUUCCUGUGGUCUUGUCCCGGUGGUCGUCUGAGACAAGGUCUUUACAGGGGAUCUGUAUCUGGGGCUCUAGUUGUCCUGGUCUCUGCUGUCUUUCAGGGCUGUAGAGGUCGUUUCUAGGUGCUGAUCCACCAUCUGGGCUGGAUACAGACUGGAUCUGGUGGCUACGGUGACCUCGGAAUAAGAGAGAAACAGACUAAUAUUAGCGUAGAUGCCAUUUUUCUAACUAUGUAGCAAGUACAUCGGGUGUUAUGGGAAGUGUUCCCGGUUCUGGUUUACCUAAUUAAUGCAGCCUAAAAAUCCUUUAACGGAUUUGGAUAUUAGAAACCUAUUAGUGUGUUAUGUUUAAGCCAGGUUAAAGAGAUGGGUCUUUAAUCUAGAUUUUAAACUGCAAAAGUGUGUCUGUCUCCUGAACAAUGUUAGGUAGGUUAUUCCAGAGUUUAGGCGCUAAAUCAGAAAAGGAUCUGCCACCCGCAGUUGAUUUUGAUAUUCUAGGUAUUAUCAAAUUGCCAGAGUUUUGAGAAUGCAGCAGAUGUGAAGGACUAUAAUGUAACAAGAGCUCAUUCAAAUACUGAGGUGCUAAACCAUUCAGGGCUUUAUAAGUAAUAAGCAAGAUUUUAAAAUCUAUACAAUGUUUGAUAGGGAGCCAGUGCAAUGUUGACAGAACCGAACUCUAGCUGCUGCAUUUUGGACUAGCUGGAGUUUGUUUAUUAAGCAUGCAGAACAACCACCCAAUAAAGCAUUACAAUAAUGUAACCCUGAGGCCAUAAACCCAUGGAUUAACAUUUCUGCAUUUGACAUUGAGAGCAUAGGUCAUAAUUUAGAUAUAUUUUUGAGAUGGAAAAAUGGAGUUUUACAAAUGCUAGAAACGUGGCUUUCUAAGGAAAGAUUGCUAUCAAAUAGCACACCUAGGUUCCCAACUGAUGACGAAGAAUUGACAGAGCAGCCAUCAAGUCUUAGACACAUUCUAGGUUAUUACAUGCAGAGUUUUUAGGUCCUAUAAUUAACACCACUUCCAUUAAUGCCAACAAAGUGUUCUAGUCUAUGCAAAAGAAUGUUGAGGUCAAUAGUGUCGAAUGCAGCACUAAGAUCCAAUAGCACUAAUAGAGAGAUACAACCACGAUCAGAUGAUAAGAGCAGGUCAUUUGUAACUCUAAGGAGAGCAGUCUCAGUACUAUGAUACGGUCUAAAUCCUGACUGGAAAUCCUCACAGACACCAUUUUUCUCUAAGAAGGAAUAUAAUUGUGAGGAUACUACCUUUUCUAUUGUUUUGGACAGAAAAGGGAGAUUGGAGAUCGGUCUGUAAUUAACUAGUUCUUUGGGGUCAAGUUGUGUUUUUUUGAUGAAAAUUAGAUUAAAUGUCCUUGUUUUUCUGAGAAAUAAAUAUGUGAACCUGGCAUGUUUACUAAAUAUGUGCAAGCAUAUUAUUGUAUUUUUAUCCUUUAGCACAUAACAGUAACAGUAGCAUAACAGUAUGUCAGUAAUUUAUUAAUUACAAAGGCUUCAAGUCUUCUGGGCCAAAAAACUGCUUUGUGUGAAAAACAGACCCCAAAUGAAUGAUGUUAGUGCCCUGUGUUCAUAGAAAGAGUUUCCACAGUUAAAAUAUAACUGAAUUAAAUAUAAGUAAAAUACAACAUUUAAAUUAUUUACCAUUUAUAAUAUUUUUUAAAGACUUCAAAAGACUUGAAUACAAUUAAAUUUUAUUAUGCAUUAUCAUCAAAUUUCAAAAGUAAAGUGUUUUAUGUACUGAGCCCAUAAGGACUCAUGGUGAUAGAUAUAUUUCAAUGAUUUUUUGAGUAUUUUCUCAAUAUAUAGCCCACACAGUAUACCCAAACGUAGUAAUUUGUAAAAUACUAUACUUUACAAAUGUAUUUGGGGAAGGAUGAAAUAUAUAUAUAUAUUGAUCCUUAAGAAAGUACAAGGACACGCUGGAGGAACUAUGUCUCUCGGCUGGCCUGGGAACACCUCGGUAUCCGGAAGAGCUAGAGGAAGUGUCUAGUGAGAGGGAAGUCUGGGUAUCACUGCUUAUACUGCUGCCCCUGUGUGCCCCAGUGCACGCCAAAGGCCACAGCACACAAUGAAGAAACACCACCACCAUCUAAAGAGGAAGUCAUCGACCCUGGUCAAUGAAGGCCAGCAGCUCCUAAAUAAAAACUCUCUCUCUCUCUC
Cyprinus carpio carpio is the source of this 3503-nucleotide long non-coding RNA. The record is from Ensembl. Lineage: Eukaryota; Metazoa; Chordata; Actinopteri; Cypriniformes; Cyprinidae.